Molecule: signal recognition particle RNA, 99 nt
Filed under: Victivallis vadensis
Lineage: Bacteria; Pseudomonadati; Lentisphaerota; Lentisphaeria; Victivallales; Victivallaceae
Also listed under: 2 other names
Description: Bacterial small signal recognition particle RNA
Rfam family: Bacterial small signal recognition particle RNA
About the family: The signal recognition particle (SRP) is a universally conserved ribonucleoprotein involved in the co-translational targeting of proteins to membranes.
Source: Rfam by way of RNAcentral
GGCCGGACCCCGUGCGUUGUCAAAAGUGCCAACCGAGUCAGGUGGGGAACCAAGCAGCUCUACGCGAUUUUUUGACAGGCCACGAGUAAUCUGACCCGG